AAUCCCAACACCAUAUUGGAGGGCAUUUCUAAGUCCACAACUAAGAAGAUGCUCCAUUGCGUACGAUUAUUUCAUGUGGUCCCUAUGGAGAUAGAGAAAUCAGAGUACCCCUUCGGUUGAUAUAUUCUUCCUUCUAGGGGCAUCACCACCGGCCCAAUUCUUGCGGGUCGAAUUCCCAUCCUUCAGAGUGUCUCCGUGGCUAUCAAGUUGUACUUGCUACAAACCGCUGGUAAUACCCUUCGCAAGUCUGUGUUUCCAAU
This 260-nucleotide long non-coding RNA is filed under the name Hordeum vulgare. Its description in RNAcentral is "long non-coding RNA (HVUL_LNC007309)". Lineage: Eukaryota; Viridiplantae; Streptophyta; Magnoliopsida; Poales; Poaceae. The record is from RNAcentral.